ACAUCGAUAGUAUACAAGUACAGCUGCCUUCCAAGCAGAAAGCCCACACCUGGCCGAUGUA
RNAcentral lists this transfer RNA (61 nucleotides) under Potomida littoralis. RNAcentral's name for it is "tRNA-Gly". RNAcentral also lists the same sequence under 2 other names. Lineage: Eukaryota; Metazoa; Mollusca; Bivalvia; Unionida; Unionidae. The record is from RNAcentral.